Jaculus jaculus (lesser Egyptian jerboa) is the source of this 192-nucleotide small nuclear RNA. Its record names the gene U2. It matches the Rfam family "U2 spliceosomal RNA". Rfam says of the family: U2 is a small nuclear RNA (snRNA) component of the spliceosome (involved in pre-mRNA splicing). Complementary binding between U2 snRNA (in an area lying towards the 5' end but 3' to hairpin I) and the branchpoint sequence (BPS) of the intron results the bulging out of an unpaired adenosine, on the BPS, which initiates a nucleophilic attack at the intronic 5' splice site, thus starting the first of two transesterification reactions that mediate splicing. Lineage: Eukaryota; Metazoa; Chordata; Mammalia; Rodentia; Dipodidae. The record is from Ensembl.
CAAACAUCUCAGCCUUUUGGCUAAGAUCAAGUAUAGUAUAUAUUCUUAUCAGUUUAAUACCUGAUACAUCCUCUAUCUCAGGACAAUAUAUUGCAUGGAUUUUUGGAAAAAGGAGUUGGAGCAGGAGCUUUCUCUGUCCACUCCAUGCAUUGACCUGCUGUUUCAGUACCUCCCAGGAAUGGUGCAAUCCUU